CUUGAUGGUGGCUGUACGCGGGGCGCCCUUGGGCGCGCCGGUUUCGUUGAUCAACCGGUCUACUAACCCGCGUAUAGCCGCCACCCUU
RNAcentral lists this non-coding RNA (88 nucleotides) under Pseudomonas yamanorum. The record is from RNAcentral. Lineage: Bacteria; Pseudomonadati; Pseudomonadota; Gammaproteobacteria; Pseudomonadales; Pseudomonadaceae.